CCCCUCUCAGGGUUGCACCUGGAGAGUUUCCAGUACUCUACCAGUCUCGACUGUGGGAGGGAGAAUCAAAGGCAUAACCAUUCCAUUCCUAGCUUGGGCAGUGACUAGUGAAUGGAAGGCAAUCUGCUACAAGU
Small nucleolar RNA from Ornithorhynchus anatinus (platypus), 134 nucleotides. The record is from RefSeq and is a predicted model, not a curated record. NCBI's taxonomy places the organism in Eukaryota, Metazoa, Chordata, Mammalia, Monotremata, Ornithorhynchidae.